CCAUCGCACAACGGAUAAAGGCUACCCCGGGGAUAACAGGCUUAUCUCCCCCAAGAGUCCACAUCGACGGGGAGGUUUGGCACCUCGAUGUCGGCUCAUCACAUCCUGGGGCUGUAGUCGGUCCCAAGGGUUGGGCUGUUCGCCCAUUAAAGCGGUACGCGAGCUGGGUUCAGAACGUCGUGAGACAGUUCGGUCCCUAUCCGUCGUGGGCGUAGGAAAUUUGAGAGGAGCUGUCCUUAGUACGAGAGGACCGGGAUGGACGCACCGCUGGUGUACCAGUUGUUCUGCCAAGGGCAUAGCUGGGUAGCUAUGUGCGGAAGGGAUAAGUGCUGAAAGCAUCUAAGCAUGAAGCCCCCCUCAAGAUGAGAUUUCCCAUAGCGUAAGCUAGUAAGAUCCCUGAAAGAUGAUCAGGUUGAUAGGUUCGAGGUGGAAGCAUGGUGACAUGUGGAGCUGACGAAUACUAAUAGAUCGAGGACUUAACCAU
Molecule: ribosomal RNA, 484 nt
Filed under: Vibrio cholerae
Lineage: Bacteria; Pseudomonadati; Pseudomonadota; Gammaproteobacteria; Vibrionales; Vibrionaceae
Description: partial 23S ribosomal RNA
Rfam family: Bacterial large subunit ribosomal RNA
Source: RNAcentral